UGGUGAAAAUGGAGCUCCUGGUCAGAUGAA
This 30-nucleotide non-coding RNA is filed under the name Homo sapiens (human). Lineage: Eukaryota; Metazoa; Chordata; Mammalia; Primates; Hominidae. The record is from RNAcentral.